GGCACUAUGGCCGAGUGGUUAAGGCGAAAGAUUAGAAAUCUUUUGGGCUUUGCCCGCGCAGGUUCGAGUCCUGCAGUUGUCG
RNAcentral lists this transfer RNA (82 nucleotides) under Cutibacterium acnes. RNAcentral describes it as "tRNA-Ser". It matches the Rfam family "tRNA". Rfam says of the family: Transfer RNA (tRNA) molecules are approximately 80 nucleotides in length. Their secondary structure includes four short double-helical elements and three loops (D, anti-codon, and T loops). Further hydrogen bonds mediate the characteristic L-shaped molecular structure. tRNAs have two regions of fundamental functional importance: the anti-codon, which is responsible for specific mRNA codon recognition, and the 3' end, to which the tRNAs corresponding amino acid is attached (by aminoacyl-tRNA synthetases). tRNAs cope with the degeneracy of the genetic code in two manners: having more than one tRNA (with a specific anti-codon) for a particular amino acid; and 'wobble' base-pairing, i.e. permitting non-standard base-pairing at the 3rd anti-codon position. Lineage: Bacteria; Bacillati; Actinomycetota; Actinomycetes; Propionibacteriales; Propionibacteriaceae. The record is from RNAcentral. RNAcentral also lists the same sequence under 1 other name.